UACAGAGGUGGCAAGCGUUGUUCGGAAUUACUGGGCGUAAAGGGCGCGUAGGUGGCCUUUUGAGUCAGACGUGAAAUCCCCCGGCUUAACCUGGGAACUGCGUCUGAUACUGGGAGGCUUGAGUUCGGGAGAGGGUCGCGGAAUUCCCGGUGUAGAGGUGAAAUUCGUAGAUAUCGGGAGGAACACCGGUGGCGAAGGCGGCGACCUGGGUAGAUACUGACGCUGAGGUGCGAAAGCGUGGGGAGCAAACAGG
Molecule: ribosomal RNA, 253 nt
Filed under: uncultured bacterium
Lineage: Bacteria
Description: partial 16S ribosomal RNA
Rfam family: Bacterial small subunit ribosomal RNA
Source: RNAcentral